Brassica napus (rape) is the source of this 2647-nucleotide long non-coding RNA. RefSeq lists it as uncharacterized. The transcript has 2 exons. The record is from RefSeq and is a predicted model, not a curated record. Lineage: Eukaryota; Viridiplantae; Streptophyta; Magnoliopsida; Brassicales; Brassicaceae.
UGUAUGUUUAUCUUGAAAGUGAUCAAUAUAAAUCGUAUUUUUACCUUGAAAGUGUUCAUAAUGUUGCAGUAAAUUACUAAAUUUCAAGACAUGAUCUUCUAAACGUUAUUAUAAUAUUCUUUGUUGGAUGUUUUCAUUGUUCCUUAUAUCAGUGGCGGAUCGAGGACUAAAUUUUACCUGGGUCAAACCAUGUAAAAAAAAAACAAAAGUGUCAAUUGUAGGAUUCGAAACUGGGUUUAGACCUUUAGGAGUGUCACAAAGGGAAUUUGACCAACAGAGUUAUUGGUAUUUUAAUCUUAAUCCAUACAAAACAUAAAUUUAUCCAAAUUUAACGUGUGUCAUGUGCAACCCUAUCCUCUCAAGUGGGUCCGCCACUGCCUUAUAUCAUAUAACAUACCAAAGUAAACUGAUGGAAAUAUGUAAUUUCUAUUUGGAACGCACAACCUAAAGGUGUUAUCUAUUUAAUAAUGCAUGAUCAUGAUAAACUACUUAAGAUUUUGUUAAUAACUGUGGACAAAUGCAAGACCACUGGUAAAAAUAUAUAUGAGUUGGUAAAUUAUAUAUGAGUUUUAAAAUACUCAUGUGAUCUUGACUUAUGGUUUGUAGAGAAUAUGAAAAACUAGGGUCGGGAAGUUAUAAUAAAAACUAUUUUAUAACGUUGAAUAGUGUUUAUCUUUUUAUUUAAAAACUAAUUUUAAGUUAACACUUAGUGUUUUGACCCAAAAAUAGUACUUAGAGUUAUGAUUUAAGAUAAUUAUAUUUGUAAUAGUUUUUCAAUGGUGUGGUUAUUUUGUAUUUAGUCGUUUGAUGAUGUUGUGAUUUGUUUAAAAUGAGGAAGUUAUUAUUAGAACAGUUGCAACACUUUUGAGUGUCACAUAUUUAGUUACCAUUAGAAAUUCUAUAAUGCAUGUGAGAAAAUAUUAUUUAUUGAGAAAUGCAAUGUAUAUUUUUGUGUAGAUGAAUAAUUUAAGUACUAUUUAAAAACGUAAACGGACUGGCUAAUAGAGAGACGAUUAAAUAUAAGAACUUGUUGAGUGGGGUUCAUAUGAACUUUUUUAGUCUAUCUUCUUAAAUUAAAAUUGUAGAAAGUGUGUAUAUUCACAAGUUCUUUUUGCUUAUAACUUUAUUAUGCCUUGAACAUAUGCACUAUUUUAAGUGAUUUUGAUGGGAGAUCUCCAAAGUUAUAGAGGAAAAAAUUGGGUGUUGAGAAUUUUGCUUACUGAGGUGACAUAUUUGACCAAAUAGAUUUAGCUACUGAUCCCAAAGUUUUUAUAUGAGAAGAUUGAUUAUGUUCUUUAUGUUUAAUUUUUUAAAAUAUUAAGAAUAGAAGAUUAAAAAUUUUACUAUGUUCUUUAUGUCUGGAAAUUAGAUUAUAUAUCUUAAAUAAAAGCAUUAAUAACAUUAUAUGAACUAUAUAAACAAAAAAAAUGAGUUAAGAAAACAAAACAACAUCUAAGCAAAAGUGAGUUGACUAUACAAAUUGGAACAUCGGAAAAAAUACUAAAAAAAUGUUUCGCUUCUAAUAAUUGAAAUCUCAAAUAUAUAGUACGCUCAAGAAUCUGAAAGUAACUUUGGAAAAUUAAAAUCUUCACAUACAUAUUAAUGCAUGUAUUACAUUUGCAUAAUAAAAAGUAAAAAUCUCUGAACAUUUCUAUUAAGUAUCCUAAUUUAUAUCUAUUAUACACAAUUCUUAACGCAAAUUUAAAACUUUAUACCCUUAAUUUUAAACAAACUCUUAAUCUUUAAACUAUAAUCUUAACCAUAAACUUUAUUCUCCAUGAAAAUACUUUUAUAAUUAAAUGUAUAAAUUAUAAAAUUUUAACCUUAGACUUUAUAUUGAAAUGGUUGAUAACAAAUGGCAAGGACUGUGUCAGAUUUAAUAAUAGUCAUUGAUUAAAUUUUAAUCUAACGGUGGAGAAUCAAUUUCAACCUCUCUCUUUUGUCCUUUUCUGUGCACUAAGAAACGAUCCAUAAACUUGUUUUCUUCACACUUUUCUCAGAUUCAGAUCUCUAUCUUUUCAUUACACGUUUUUCUUUCUUCUUUCUCUUCUCUACAUUUUUUCUCUAUCUACUGAUUUGUUUAUUUUUUCUAUGUUUUAUUUAAUGAAUCUUAUAUUCUUUCUAUCUCAUCUUCUUCUUUGUCUCUGUUAAAGCUUGUCGUGUGCCGUACUCGUUCUCACCACUCUAGUUCAUCACCUCUCUAAUUCAAGAUUAAAGGUGUGGAGGAAGAAGAAAAGCUUGACGGUGGUGGGAUUUGAGAAAAACGGAGCUGGAUGGUGGAUGUGACGAUGGUCACGUGGGAAGAACCCUAAAAUGGAUCGAAGUGCAUUAGAGAUGCUGGAGACUGGGCUAUCCAAGAACAAAGCCCAUAUGAACUGAAGCCCACCUAGACUUAAUGAACGUGACGUUAUAAAAUGGUGGGACACGUGUCGGCUUCUCAAGACUCUAAUUAGUGAUGUGUCCGCCUAUGUGGACAGCCUAGGAGAGAAUCAAACCCAACUUUAUAUAUAAAAAUAUGAAUUUAAUUAUAAAAUAUUUAUAAUGUUAUUUUUGAAAAUGUUUCUAUAGGAAUCUAUACUCAAUAUUAGAAAAAUAAAGAAUAUAUCCUCAAUAUAUAAGACAUAAUGCAUAUAAUUAAUACCGUCUU